Molecule: ribosomal RNA, 967 nt
Filed under: Salmonella enterica
Lineage: Bacteria; Pseudomonadati; Pseudomonadota; Gammaproteobacteria; Enterobacterales; Enterobacteriaceae
Also listed under: 4 other names
Description: partial 23S ribosomal RNA
Rfam family: Bacterial large subunit ribosomal RNA
Source: RNAcentral
AGACCCGAAACCCGGUGAUCUAGCCAUGGGCAGGUUGAAGGUUGGGUAACACUAACUGGAGGACCGAACCGACUAAUGUUGAAAAAUUAGCGGAUGACCUGUGGCUGGGGGUGAAAGGCCAAUCAAACCGGGAGAUAGCUGGUUCUCCCCGAAAGCUAUUUAGGUAGCGCCUCGUGAAUUCAUCUCCGGGGGUAGAGCACUGUUUCGGCUAGGGGGCCAUCCCGGCUUACCAACCCGAUGCAAACUGCGAAUACCGGAGAAUGUUAUCACGGGAGACACACGGCGGGUGCUAACGUCCGUCGUGAAGAGGGAAACAACCCAGACCGCCAGCUAAGGUCCCAAAGUCAUGGUUAAGUGGGAAACGAUGUGGGAAGGCCCAGACAGCCAGGAUGUUGGCUUAGAAGCAGCCAUCAUUUAAAGAAAGCGUAAUAGCUCACUGGUCGAGUCGGCCUGCGCGGAAGAUGUAACGGGGCUAAACCAUGCACCGAAGCUGCGGCAGCGAACGUAUCACCCAAGACAACUUUACGGAGUUGACGAUUGACGGAGCGAAGCGACGUCAAAGCGUUCAUUAAAGUCGAGUUGGCUUAGGGAUACGUUCGUUGGGUAGGGGAGCGUUCUGUAAGCCUGUGAAGGUGUGUCGUGAGGCAUGCUGGAGGUAUCAGAAGUGCGAAUGCUGACAUAAGUAACGAUAAAGCGGGUGAAAAGCCCGCUCGCCGGAAGACCAAGGGUUCCUGUCCAACGUUAAUCGGGGCAGGGUGAGUCGACCCCUAAGGCGAGGCCGAAAGGCGUAGUCGAUGGGAAACGGGUUAAUAUUCCCGUACUUGGUGUUACUGCGAAGGGGGGACGGAGAAGGCUAUGUUGGCCGGGCGACGGUUGUCCCGGUUUAAGCGUGUAGGUGUGUGUUCCAGGUAAAUCCGGUUCACUUUAACACUGAGGCGUGACGACGAGGCACUACGGUGCUGAAGCA